This 429-nucleotide ribosomal RNA is filed under the name Acidobacteriota bacterium. RNAcentral's name for it is "Acidobacteria bacterium partial 16S ribosomal RNA". It matches the Rfam family "Bacterial small subunit ribosomal RNA", at positions 355 to 776 of the family's 1533-position model. The record is from RNAcentral. Lineage: Bacteria; Pseudomonadati; Acidobacteriota.
UGGGGAAUUUUGGACAAUGGGGGAAACCCUGAUCCAGCCAUCCCGCGUGUGCGAUGAAGGCCUUCGGGUUGUAAAGCACUUUUGGCAGGAAAGAAACGUCAUGGGUUAAUACCCCGUGAAACUGACGGUACCUGCAGAAUAAGCACCGGCUAACUACGUGCCAGCAGCCGCGGUAAUACGUAGGGUGCAAGCGUUAAUCGGAAUUACUGGGCGUAAAGCGUGCGCAGGCGGUUCGGAAAGAAAGAUGUGAAAUCCCAGAGCUCAACUUUGGAACUGCAUUUUUAACUACCGGGCUAGAGUGUGUCAGAGGGAGGUGGAAUUCCGCGUGUAGCAGUGAAAUGCGUAGAUAUGCGGAGGAACACCGAUGGCGAAGGCAGCCGCCUGGGAAAACACUGACGCUCAUGCACGAAAGCGUGGGGAGCAAACAGG